GACGAACGCUGGCGGCGUGCUUAACACAUGCAAGUCGAACGGAAAGGCCUUGUUUUUGUGGCAUGCUCGAGUGGCGCAAGGGUGAGUAACACGUGAGUAACCUGCCCCUGUCUUUGGGGUACCUUCAGGGAAAUCGGAUUCAUACAGGAUAGGAGCUCCUUCUGCAUAGUGGGGGUGGGUAAGUUUCGGCGGUUGGGGAUGGACUCGCGGCCUAUCAGCUUGUUGGUGGGGUAGUGGCUUACCAAGGCUUGGGCGGGUAGCCGGCUUGAGAGGGUGACCGGCCACAAAGGCACUGAGAUACGGCCCAGACGGCUACGGGAGGCAGCAGUGGGGGAUAGUGCAAGAUGGGCGGAAGGAUGAUGGAGGAACGCCGGGUGCGGGAUGACGGCCGGCAGGUGGGAAACCGCUUUCGCCUGGGACGAAGCGUGAGUGACGGUAAUGGGUAAAGAAGCACCGGCUAACUACGUG
Molecule: ribosomal RNA, 468 nt
Filed under: uncultured bacterium
Lineage: Bacteria
Description: partial 16S ribosomal RNA
Rfam family: Bacterial small subunit ribosomal RNA
Source: RNAcentral